UACGAAGGGGGCUAGCGUUGCUCGGAAUCACUGGGCGUAAAGGGUGCGUAGGCGGGUCUUUAAGUCAGGGGUGAAAUCCUGGAGCUCAACUCCAGAACUGCCUUUGAUACUGAAGAUCUUGAGUUCGGGAGAGGUGAGUGGAACUGCGAGUGUAGAGGUGAAAUUCGUAGAUAUUCGCAAGAACACCAGUGGCGAAGGCGGCUCACUGGCCCGAUACUGACGCUGAGGCACGAAAGCGUGGG
Molecule: ribosomal RNA, 242 nt
Filed under: uncultured bacterium
Lineage: Bacteria
Description: partial 16S ribosomal RNA
Rfam family: Bacterial small subunit ribosomal RNA
Source: RNAcentral